Molecule: long non-coding RNA, 1183 nt
Organism: Cyprinus carpio carpio
Lineage: Eukaryota; Metazoa; Chordata; Actinopteri; Cypriniformes; Cyprinidae
Source: Ensembl
UUGUGCAUGCUUUUGAUUUACAGAAGGUGGACAGUGAUAAUGAUUCAUCAUCAUUUAUUAAAAUCUCUUAUGCAAACAGCUCCAUUUGUGAGUAGACUAAAAAUUUCUUGAAUCACACUGCCCCCUGUUGAUCAAUAAUGAUCUCUCAUUGUAAGACAACUGUUUUUUGUACAGCUCUCCCCUGAGUUUGAUACACUGUGUAUUCACUCACUGAACAGAAAUAUGUGGCACUAUCAUUCGGCUGCAAAUUGUUAACAGUCAGAGAUCCAUUCUCAGCAACCGUUUUAUUGGCCACAAAUUUACAAAACAUACAUAUAUAUAUAUAUAUAUAUAUAUAUAUAUAUAUAUAUAUAUAUAUAUAUAUAUAUAUAAUUCAAAUAAUUCAUUUGUAAUUAUUUUAGAUUUAAUUAUAAUUAUUCAUUACCUAAUAUGCAUAAUCUAAACCCUUUUCUUUCUUUCUUUCUUUUUGCUCUAUUUGCUAGACCUACUGUGUUAUUGGCCUUGAAUCAAAACUCACAGGUGUGGAGAGAAAUAAAUAUGCCUUUCACAGAAGCAAGUCGGUUAAAAGAGGUUUUUGUAUCAGACAGAGAGGAUUCUGAGCACUGUGUAAUAUGCUGCACAGAAAUACACUGCACUGUCAGUCAGUGUGAGGUUGCUGAUAAUCAGAGUGCCAUCAUUUCUCCCAUCUCCAUCCAGAUUGAUCUUGUUUUCAAAUUCAGGCUCUUUAUUCUUAGCAUCAUAAUUAAGAUAUCCCAUCAACUUUAAGCCCAACAUGUCUGGACUUUGUUUGUACCAUAAUAUUAUGUAAUAGCUUUGUAUCUUGUGAGAGCACAUGACCACAGCAGAUUCAUCUUGAUUCUUGAUGAGUUUGUCAGGCAUCUGUUGAACAGUUUUACCAAGACAGGCAGCUGUGGAGAAAAACAAAACAGUGUAUAACAGUGUAAAGCAGGAUAUGUUCAUGUAUAGAAUGCAGAUUUGUUUGUUGUUAUUACCUGUAAAUAUCAUUAUGCAUACAGAUGCACUAAGGAAUGUGUUCAUCGUGACUUCUUUCACCAAGUGCUUCUGCUACACAUUAAUGACAUGAGUGAGAGGAAGUGAUGUCAGCUAUAUCUUAGCUAUUAUCAACUUGGGGGAACAAAUGAAUCUAUAAGUUUUUGUUGUUGUUUCUUUUAACCUCCAGUUG